CCAUCUUUACUAAAAAUACAAAAAUUAGCUGGGCCUGUUGGUGGGUGCCCAUGGUCCCAGCUACUCAGGAGACUGAGGCAGGAGAAUCGCUUGAACCCAGGACGCAGAGAUUCCAGUGAGCCGAGAUCAUGCCACUGCACUCCAGCCUGGGCAGCAGAAUGAGCAGUGUGAGACUCUGUCUCAAAAGAAAAAAAAAAUGCCAGUUCCCCAUCCCUGCCUCACACCAAGGAGGCAGACUCCCCAGAAGAUUAGCCAGGGAAUCUACAUUUUACAGUAGGGUGAUUCUUCUUUAGAACCACUGCCCUUGAUCCUUUUGUACUUGGUAAGCAUGAUGAUUGGGUUUUUAUGCUUAUAUAUGAGACAUGCUUGUCUCAAAUCUUGUUACAGCACAUUACCCUUCCUACUUAAAAGGUUAAAAAAAAAAAGAACCAUCGCCCUUGAUCAUGUAAAUAUUUUAUUACAUUCUGUCCUACAGCUCAUGAUGAUCUCAGACAGGUUGAACAGGAGUUGUCACCCAACCCCUCAAGAUAUAGAUGAAGAAAUCUGAGCCCUGACUGGGAAAGGGGUUUACUUGAGAUUUUAAAAUGUCCAUUAAGUCAUGUGCACCCCAUCUUUGAGCCCCUGAAUGAUUUGGCUCCUGCUUGCCUUCUUUUUUUUUUGAGAUGGAGUCUUGCUCCGUUGCCCAGGCUGGAGUGCAAUGGCACCAACUCGGC
This 713-nucleotide long non-coding RNA is filed under the name Homo sapiens (human). RNAcentral's name for it is "HSALNT0236824". The stretch from base 308 to 405 matches the Rfam family "Small nucleolar RNA U13". The record is from RNAcentral. Lineage: Eukaryota; Metazoa; Chordata; Mammalia; Primates; Hominidae.